RNAcentral lists this ribosomal RNA (486 nucleotides) under uncultured Glomus. RNAcentral's name for it is "SSU rRNA". It matches the Rfam family "Eukaryotic small subunit ribosomal RNA", at positions 562 to 1052 of the family's 1831-position model. Lineage: Eukaryota; Fungi; Glomeromycota; Glomeromycetes; Glomerales; Glomeraceae. The record is from RNAcentral.
UGGUGCCAGCAGCCGCGGUAAUUCCAGCUCCAAUAGCGUAUAUUAAAGUUGUUGCAGUUAAAAAGCUCGUAGUUGAAUUUCGGGGUUAGUAAGUUGGUCAUGCCUCCGGUAUGCACUGGCUUUACUGAUUCCUCCUUCUUGAUGAACUGUAAUGUCAUUAAUUUGGUGUUGCAGGGAAUCAGGACUGUUACUUUGAAAAAAUUAGAGUGUUUAAAGCAGGCAUAAGCUUGAAUACAUUAGCAUGGAAUAAUGAAAUAGGACGUUUGAUCCUAUUUUGUUGGUUUCUAGGAUUGACGUAAUGAUUAAUAGGGAUAGUUGGGGGCAUUAGUAUUCAAUUGUCAGAGGUGAAAUUCUUGGAUUUAUUGAAGACUAACUACUGCGAAAGCAUUUGCCAAGGAUGUUUUCAUUAAUCAAGAACGAAAGUUAGGGGAUCGAAGACGAUCAGAUACCGUCGUAGUCUUAACCAUAAACUAUGCCGACUAGGAU